AUUUGUCAGGAGGAGGAGGUCCAGGUGCAGGGGGCAGAUGUGUGUAGCCAGGUAUGAGGAUACAGAAAACAUGGGGUAGGUUUCUUUGCUAGAGGCUGAAAAGUCAGCAAAGAGUAAAGAGCUUCAAGAAAAAAACAAGAGAAGAGAGGUGUUCCUGGUGGGGCCCAGCCUAGAGAGGAAGAAGAGCAUUUGAAAUUAAAAGAUUCCAGAGCUAAAACUUCACUGAGCUUAAAGAAAAUCAAUUCCCGCAAGUUGGGCAUCAAGGUACCCACCUGCUGAACUGCUGUAAGAUCAAAUUCCUUCAGCAGAGGCCCCAGGGUGCAUUAAGCGGGCCAGGUUUGUCACUGGGAGAUGGUUCCAUGUCAGUCACUGUCACCCCUAACCCCAGCUGGUGGCAAUCCAUCUGUGCUUGUCAGCCACGAUGGUGGUUAUGGGCACUCGUGCGUUAAGCUGGCACUUAGUCCACUGUGAGCCUGAGAGUAGUGCUAGACCUUCCCACAGGGAGAGGCCUC
Neopsephotus bourkii (Bourke's parrot) is the source of this 512-nucleotide long non-coding RNA. RefSeq lists it as uncharacterized. The record is from RefSeq and is a predicted model, not a curated record. Lineage: Eukaryota; Metazoa; Chordata; Aves; Psittaciformes; Psittacidae. The transcript is spliced from 3 exons.